ACUUUUAAAAGUUCAGCAGACAGGUGCUCUGCUUUGGAGUGUGACGAUGUUGUCGGUGAUGUGGAGAGUGAAGUUUCCGUUUCACCCACAGCGUGCUUUAGGGCAGCCAGAGUGAAAGUAGCAGUUCCUCCUUAAGGUCAGAGAUUGCAGCAUCUGAGGGCCUCUUCAAAAGAAGACGUAGUUGAUGAAGACGUUCUGGAGCAGGACCAGAAAGACCACGACCAAGCAGCCUUGAGAUCUUAGGCAGCGUCUCCCUCAGGUCCCUCUCUAUCUCCCCACACAUCCACCAACCACUGGAACACAUCUCCAAAGUUCUGCCGGACCAGCUCAGCUUCCGCUCAGAAGAAGUGCUGCCACCUGCCAGAUGAAGGAGCCUUUUGAGAGGCAGCUGGCAUCGUGAUUGGACUGUACUUUGGUCUGUUCCAAUCCAGCUUCAGCUCCAGAGACGGCAGGCGGGACGAGUCAACGGAGGCCGGGUGGACGAAGGCAUGCAGCUGAGUAUUCGAGUUUUUGACAUAGCAUACUAUGGCGUUUUUUUGCACCAAAAUUCAUGAUGAUUUUUUUUUUAAAAGAAAACCUUACCAUAGUGUUUUUGAC
This is a long non-coding RNA of Amphiprion ocellaris (clown anemonefish), 597 nucleotides long. NCBI's taxonomy places the organism in Eukaryota, Metazoa, Chordata, Actinopteri, Pomacentridae. The record is from Ensembl.